AAAAUUUGGCGGUAUUUUAGUCUUUUCAGAGGAACCGGUUCUAUAAUUGAUAGUCCACGAUAAAAUUUACUUAUUUUAGAAAUUUAUAUAUCGUCGUAGUUUGAAUAUUUUUAUAGAAUUUUUAAUGUUCAAUAUUUUUUAUUAUAAAUAAAAUCAGAUCAAGGUGUAGUUUAUAGAUAAGUAGAAAUGGGUUACAGUUAUAUUAUUAUUGGAUAAAAUUUUUGUGAAAUUUUUUGAAAUUGGAUUUGAAAGUAAUUUAAUUAUUUUUAUUUAGAUGACUAAAGCUCUAAAAUAUGUACAUAUUGCCCGUCGCUUUUGUUUUAAGAUGAAAUAAGUCGUAACAAAGUAGAUUUACUGGAAAGUGAAUCUAGAAUA
Molecule: ribosomal RNA, 375 nt
Filed under: Thriocerodes sp. 1 NLG-2013
Lineage: Eukaryota; Metazoa; Arthropoda; Insecta; Coleoptera; Cleridae
Description: partial 12S ribosomal RNA
Source: RNAcentral